This 2011-nucleotide long non-coding RNA is filed under the name Pelobates cultripes (western spadefoot toad). The record is from RNAcentral. Lineage: Eukaryota; Metazoa; Chordata; Amphibia; Anura; Pelobatidae.
CUGAGCGUUUAUAACCUGUAUAUAGUGACUGAGCGUUUAUAAUCUGUAUACAGUGACUGAGCGUUUAUAAUCUGUAUAUAGUGACUUUAUAAUCUGUAUAUAAUGACUUUAUAAUCUGUAUAUAGUGACUUUAUAAUCUGUAUACAGUGACUGUUUAUAAUCUGUAUAUAGUGACUGAGCAUUUGUAACCUGUAUAUAGUGACUGUUUAUAAUCUGUAUAUAUAGUGACUGUUUAGAAUCUGUAUACAGUGACUGAGCGUUUAUAAUCUGUAUAUAAUGACUUUAUAAUCUGUAUAUAGUGACUUUAUAAUCUGUAUACAGUGACUGAGCGUUUAUAACCUGUAUAUAGUGACUGUUUAUAAUCUGUAUACAGUGACUGAGCGUUUAUAACCUGUAUAUAGUGACUGAGCGUUUAUAAUCUGUAUACAGUGACUGAGCGUUUAUAAUCUGUAUAUAAUGACUUUAUAAUCUGUAUAUAGUGACUUUAUAAUCUGUAUACAGUGACUGUUUAUAAUCUGUAUAUAGUGACUGAGCAUUUAUAACCUGUAUAUAGUGACUGUUUAUAAUCUGUAUAUAUAGUGACUGUUUAGAAUCUGUAUACAGUGACUGAGCGUUUGUAAUCUGUAUAUAGUGACUGAGUGUUUAUAACCUGUAUACAGUGACUGAGCGUUUGUAAUCUGUAUAUAGUGACUGAGUGUUUAUAACCUGUAUACAGUGACUGAGCGUUUGUAAUCUGUAUAUAGUGACUGUUUAUAAUCUGUAUAUAUAGUGACUGUUUAUUAUCUGUAUAUAUAUAUAUAUAUAGUGACUGUUUAUAAUCUGUAUAUAUAGUGACUGUACACUAUUUGUGGCAGAAUCCUUUUAAAGGGUGUUUGGGUGUGUUUCCAAUUAAACUGUUUUUAUAGGACAAAACUAGAUUUAUAGAAUUGAAGAUUCCCAUUAAAUAUUCCUUUCCAGGCUCACCUGAGCUCCUUGUAUCCUCGUCCAUUGAAAAUCCUAAUUCUUCUGACAUUCAGUGCUAUUUCUAAUGUGAAACUAAUGAUGGACUGAUGGAGAGAUUGAAGUAAAACAUAUUGUUUCUGUGAUAUCAGUCUGAGGAAGUGUGAAUUUAUUUGUGUUAUUGUUGUGUUUACCACAAUAAUGGGAGCUGCGAGGCCACACAAUCUGUGACUGCAGACUCUCCUCCCAUUCAUCCAGUCCUGGUACAGAGCCGGGAAGGUCAAGGAAUUUAUAAUGUUAAUUUUAGCUUUAUUUCUUUUGUAAUCGCGUAUUGUAUGCAGCAUUCGUCUGGUUGUUCGGUUAAAACACUCUGUUCAACAUACGAACAAACAGACCUCCCCAGAGUGAAUUGUGCCUCUCAUUUACCUCCCGCAUCUAAGUUCCAACCACAUAAGUGGUAAUUCAACUAAAUGUAUUAUGUGUUCCCUGGGUGGCCGCCAUUCAGCAUACGAACACGUGGCAGCGGCCAUCUUAACAUACGAAUGCUCAGCGGUGUUUGGUCUUUGUGUGUCUGAAACCCAAAUCGGACACUCAACUACGCGAACACCGCCGAGACUUCCCACGAACAAGGGGAUCCAUAUGAAUCCAACCCCAGUCUAUGUAACCCGGUACGUUCGUGUGUUUUAUCCCUCUGAGACCGGCCGCAAGGCCAGAAUGUAUGGAGCUGAUUUCGGCUACUACCUCCUGUACGGUCGGUCAAAUAAAUACAUCCGUGUAACUCCCAAACCCCUGGUACGAUCUGGGUGAUUUUUGAGUAUGUUGCUCACCCAUAGCACGGAUACCAGGGGAUAUAAGAUUAUGGGGUGUAUCUCUGGUAUUAGGGGUACAUCCAGAAAGCGGGGAGAAAUGUGUCCUGUAUAAUGGGAUUAUGUGUCAUGCUGAGGGGAGGAGAUGUGUGGGAGGUAACGUGUAAAUGAUUGGUUACUGUACUAAUUACUGUGGGUAUCUCCCUUGCAUGGGAGAAAUGCUUAAAAGCUGAGUAUGUGGAAUAAAUCUUCAAUUCUGCUCCUGA